AUGGUCAGAAGCAGCCCCAUGCAGGCGGUGCUGGUGGCGCCGGGGGUGAAGGACAAGCAGGUGCUCCCCUACAAGCGGGACGCGCUCAAGGAGAAGCACGCCGUCGCCGGCCUCAUGCGCUCCAUCGCCGGCGGCCCCGGCGUGCGCGGCGCCUUCUACGUCCUCGACCUCGCCAGGGUCGUCGACCUGUACAUGCGCUGGCGCCGCGCGCUCCCGGACGUGCGGGCGUACUACGCCGUCAAGUGCAACCCGGAGCCGGCGCUGCUCGGCGCGCUGGCCGCCCUCGGCGCCGGGUUCGACUGCGCCAGCCGCAGGGAGAUCGAGGCCGUUCUCGCGCUCGGUGUCGAGCCGGCCAGCAUCGUGUACGCCAACCCGUGCAAGCCCGAGGCGCACAUCGAGUACGCGGCGCGGGUGGGCGUCAACCUCACCACGUACGACUCCGAGGAGGAGGUGGCCAAGGUGAAGCGCUGCCACCCCGGCUGCGAGCUCAUCCUCCGCAUCAAGGGCCCCGACAACGGCGACGCCAAGGUCGACCUCGGCACUAAAUACGGCGCGCACGCCGACGAGGUGGUGCCGCUGCUCCGCGCCGCGGAGCGCGCGGGCCUCGGCGUGGCCGGCGUGUCCUUCCACAUCGGCAGCGGCGGGACCCGCACCGACGUUUACUGCGGGGCCAUCGAGGCCACGCGCGCGGCGUUCGACGCGGCCGCCGCGCUCGGCAUGCCGCCCAUGCGCGUGCUCGACGUCGGCGGCGGCUUCAUGGCAGGAGGCAACGCGUUCGAAGAGGCGGCGGCGGUCAUCCGCGACACGUUGGCGGAGCACUUCGGCGACCUCCCGUGCGUGGAGGUCAUCGGAGAGCCGGGACGGUACUUCGCCGAGACGGCCUUCACGCUGGCGGCGCGCGUCAUCGGGAAGCGCACGCGCGGCGAGGUGCGGGAGUACUGGAUCGACGACGGACUCUACGGCUCCCUCAACUGCGUCCUCAUGGACGACUACGUGCCCCGCCCGAGGCCGCUCGCCACCCCACGCGCCGGCGAGGAGGCGUACACGUCGACGGUGUUCGGGCCGACCUGCGACUCGCUCGACACGGUGGUCACCGGGUACCGGCUGCCGGAGAUGAGCGUGGGGGACUGGCUCGUGUUCGACGACAUGGGCGCCUACUCCAUCGGCUCCGGCUCCCAUUUCAACGGCUUCUCCAUGGCCGACAUUACGACAUUCUUGGCCUACUCUAGCUAG
RNAcentral lists this ribosomal RNA (1233 nucleotides) under Triticum aestivum (bread wheat). RNAcentral's name for it is "partial small subunit ribosomal RNA". Lineage: Eukaryota; Viridiplantae; Streptophyta; Magnoliopsida; Poales; Poaceae. The record is from RNAcentral.